GCCCUUGUAAAAAUCAAAGGUGUAACCUGCCCAAUGAUUCUUAAUUAAAUAGUAAUAAAAAUCCUAUAAAAGAAUUUAAAGGACGCAGUAUCCUGACUGUGAUAAUGUAGCAUAAUCACUCGCCAUUUAAUUGAUGGAUAGUAUGAAUGGUUGAACGAAUAUUACACUGUCUUAAAUAAAAAACAUAUGAAAUUAAAAUAAUAGUAAAGAUGCUAUUUAAAACUGUAAGACGAAAAGACCCUAUAGAGCUUAACUAUAACCUCUCAUAAACAAAAAUAAAAUACUAAGUUUUAUAAAAAGAGAGGUUGGUAGUUUAGUUGGGGCGACUAUCUUCUAGAACGAACGAAGAUAAGCAACAUUAAUAAUUUAAUUUAUUGUAAAACCGAUAUGUUUAACAAUUAUAAAAAUAGGCUUUAGUGACCCGUUAAUUAAGGGUAAUGUUAUUAACGAUCAAUAAAUAAAAGCUACCUUAGGGAUAACAGGAUAAUUUCGUUUUAGAGAUCUUAUCGAAAACGAAGUUUGUCACCUCUAUGUUGAAUUAAGAUAUCCUGAUGGUGCAGAAGCUAUCAAAGGUAGGUCUGUUCGACCUAUAAAAUCUU
Molecule: ribosomal RNA, 599 nt
Filed under: Amphinema dinema
Lineage: Eukaryota; Metazoa; Cnidaria; Hydrozoa; Anthoathecata; Pandeidae
Description: partial 16S ribosomal RNA
Rfam family: Bacterial large subunit ribosomal RNA
Source: RNAcentral